GAUGAACGCUGGCGGCGUGCCUAAUACAUGCAAGUCGAGCGAACAGAUGAGGAGCUUGCUCCUCUGACGUUAGCGGCGGACGGGUGAGUAACACGUGGAUAACCUACCUAUAAGACUGGGAUAACUUCGGGAAACCGGAGCUAAUACCGGAUAAUAUAUUGACCCGCAUGGUUCAAUAGUGAAAGACGGUUUUGCUGUCACUUAUAGAUGGAUCCUCGCCGCAUUAGCUAGUUGGUAAGGUAACGGCUUACCAAGGCAACGAUGCGUAGCCGACCUGAGAGGGUGAUCGGCCACACUGGAACUGAGACACGGUCCAGACUCCUACGGGAGGCAGCAGUAGGGAAUCUUCCGCAAUGGGCGAAAGCCUGACGGAGCAACGCCGCGUGAGUGAUGAAGGUCUUCGGAUCGUAAAACUCUGUUAUUAGGGAAGAACAAAUGUGUAAGUAACUAUGCACGUCUUGACGGUACCUAAUCAGAAAGCCACGGCUAACUACGUG
RNAcentral lists this ribosomal RNA (497 nucleotides) under uncultured bacterium. RNAcentral describes it as "partial 16S ribosomal RNA". It matches the Rfam family "Bacterial small subunit ribosomal RNA", at positions 28 to 507 of the family's 1533-position model. The record is from RNAcentral.